AUAAGACAGGCCUGGGAGGAGCGCUGCCCAGCCUGGGCCUCAGGGAGCAGAAUCGGGGCGCCUCCACCAUGGCCUGGAUCCCUCUCCUGCUCGGCCUCCUGGCUCAGUGCACAGGAUUUGUGGCCUCCUAUGAGGUGACUCAAUCACCCUCAGUGUCAGUGAACCCGGGACAGAGGGCCAGCAUCACCUGUGAGGGGAACAACAUUGGGAGAAAAGAUAUUCAGUGGUACCAGCAGAAGCCGGGCCGGGUCCCUGUGCUGGUCAUCUAUGAGGACACCAACCGGCCCUCAGGGAUCCCUGAGCGCUUCUCUGCCUCCAAGUCGGGGAACACCGCCACCCUGACCAUCAGCGGGGCCCAGGCUGAGGACGAGGCCGACUACUACUGUCAGUCAUACGAUGAUAGUUAUACUCCUCACAGUGACACAGGCAGAGGGGGAAGUGGGACACAAACUCCCUGCCUGGCCUAGGGCUCCCUCCCCCCGCCUCAGAGCAGCUGCAGCUCAGCCCUGAGCUCAGGGGGCCUCUCUG
Non-coding RNA from Phacochoerus africanus (Common warthog), 528 nucleotides. Lineage: Eukaryota; Metazoa; Chordata; Mammalia; Artiodactyla; Suidae. The record is from the annotation of a RefSeq genome assembly.